AGUGAUGAUCCCCUUGGUGAUUCGGCAGAUUCAGCACUUAAAUUAUUUGUUUGCUCUCCACAACUCAUUCUCCUUGCAAUAGUAGGAGAAUCCCACAUUUCCGGUGCAUUUAAUGUUGCACCUGCCCCAGUUGUCACAUUGGUUUCCUGUGCAUCCCCAUAUAUUUGCUCUUCUUUCUCCUCUCUCACUUGGUCUCCUCUUCUCUCACUUUGUUUCCUGCCACAGUUCAGUCUGACCGUGACAGUCUCAGUAUCCGAAUCACACAUUUCAGGAUCAUCCAUUGCUGCAUCUCCACCAGUACAUGUCACCUUGCUUUCAGGUGCAUCCCCAUCUAUUUGCUCUUUUUUCUCCUCUCUUGCUUGGUCUCCUCCUCUCUCACUUGGUGUCCUGCCACUAUUCACCCUCACUGUGACAGUCUCAGCAUCCGAAUCACACAUUUCAGGCACAUUUAAUGCCAC
This 458-nucleotide long non-coding RNA is filed under the name Manihot esculenta (cassava). Its description in RNAcentral is "long non-coding RNA (MESC_LNC010539)". Lineage: Eukaryota; Viridiplantae; Streptophyta; Magnoliopsida; Malpighiales; Euphorbiaceae. The record is from RNAcentral.